AAAAGAAGAACGGGACGUAAGAGAGAGAGAGAUCGAAGCGGCAGAAGAAGAAGAAGAAGAAGAAGAAGAAGAAGAAGAGAGAGAGAGAGAGAGAGCGUACCUGUUGUCGUCGUGAAGUCGAGGUUGAGCCGUUGAGGAGAAAAGCGUCUUCGUGAGGUUGAGGAGAAAAGUGUCUCUGCUGGUGGAAUGGCUGCAUCAUCAGGUUCUGGAGAGAUCGACCGAGAGCCCAGUAGACCACAGACUGGGUGAGACCUUCUGCAGCUCUGCAUAGUGUCCGUGUCACCUCAUCGACGUCAGUGCAUUGAUGCCGACUGGGCUGGAUCUAAAGUUGACAGGAGGUAAACUACUGGAUAUUGCGUUUUGUUGGAGAAAAUUUAGUGUCUUGGAAAAGCAAGAAGCAGAGUGUAGUUUCUCGAUCUAGUGUUGAAUCGGAAUACAGAGCCAUGGCACAAUGAGUAUGUGAGGUAAUGCGGAUACUUAAAUUACUAGAUGAGACAGGUUUUAAGACCUCCCUGCUUGCAAAAUUGUGGUGUGAUAAUCAAGCUGCUUUCCAUAUUGCUUCUAAUUCAGUGUUUCAUGAGCGGACCAAACAUAUUGAGAUUGAUUGUCACUUUGUUCGUGAAAAGAUUUAACAACAGAUCAUCUCAACAGGACACAUCAAAACUGGAGAGCAGUUAGGAGAUAUUUUCACAAAAACUCUGAAUGAAGCUAGGAUUAACUACAUUUGUAGUAAGUUGGACAUGAAUAACAUCUAUGCUCUAACUUGAGAGGGAGUAUUAUGGAAAGUCAAUUACUAUAUUAUUUCUCUGUAUAUUCUGUAUUCCUAUUUAGGAUUUCUUCCUUUUAGUAGAACACAAUUAAAGGAAUCAAUAGUAUAUAUAUAUAUCCAUAUACAGAUUAAUUGAAAUUAAGGAGAAUCAUCUCUUUCUACAGUAAGUUCUUUACAUGGAGUUCUUUCAAGGAAAGCCUAUUGCUGUGUAUUUUCUAAUUAAAUGUUGCUUAUUUGUUAAUUUC
This is a long non-coding RNA of Hevea brasiliensis (rubber tree), 1014 nucleotides long. RefSeq lists it as uncharacterized. NCBI's taxonomy places the organism in Eukaryota, Viridiplantae, Streptophyta, Magnoliopsida, Malpighiales, Euphorbiaceae. The transcript is spliced from 3 exons. The record is from RefSeq and is a predicted model, not a curated record.